UUUGGAGAAGAAAUCGAAGAUGAGCAUUAGAAGACAGGAGAAACCAAUGAUGGGACAGAAAAAGAAAAAUAUAUUUAAAGAAGAUGGCAUGGAAUAUAAAAUACUACAGGCAGAAGGGAGAAUGCUAUAUAGAAAAACUGAGUGGCACUUAGUGUGAUAAAAUCUUAGUAAGGAGUAUUAUAGAAGACAAAGAAAGGAGGGAAGUGAAAUAGGCCAGCUUAACCAUGUAAGAAUUUCUGUCUGCAGUAAGAUAGUUUGCAUUUUAUUUAUUACAAACUCGGAAUUUUUGAAGCAUCACAUACCUGGAUAUAAUAUUGUUUCAUUUAUUUUUUAAAAAAUGGCUCCUUUUCCUUUGUGAGAACUAGCUCAGAGAAGUUAAUACAGGAAGCUGAAGACAUGAGGUAAAGCAAUGGCCUAGUAUUCGGAAGAUAAUAAAAUAACCCAUGUGAUGACAAAGGAGAAAGAAAAUAAAGAAAUACACAUAAAAUUUUAUGAAAUAAUGGACUUAGAAAUAAAAGAUGAGGAAGAGAUCACAAAUAAUAGCAAGAGCUCACAACUGAGCAAGUGGCAGCAUGUAAUUUAAAGACAUGCUGUGAAAAUGAAGAUGAGGUAACUGAGAGAAUAGUGAGACAGAAGAAAAGGGACAAUAAUAAACCAUAGAUAGAGAAGGAGGAUGAGUGAAAGGCUUUGAGCAGGCUGUUGCUCCUGAAGUCAAGAGAAGAGGGUAUCUUCAGAAAUAUGGAUGGCCCUUCUGUAGCAGUCACAUCAGAGGUUAAAUAAGGACAUCUAUAAUAUCCUUUAUAUCGUGUUCCUUCAACUGCUGAUGCUUGUCACCUGACACGGUAGUGGUUGCUAAGGUUUCUGGCAUUCUUCAAAGUUGUGAAACAAGACAUAUUAUCUGUGUGGAGCUCCUACAUAGUGGAAAGUUGGACAAAAAUGUAGAGAAGUAAAUAAAUAAAUGGCUAUGAAAGUAGACGAUUGUUAUAUCUUAAACAUAAAAUAAAUUUGGGACCUAUAAUAGAGAGUAUUCAUAGCCUGACUAGGAGGGUAUGGUCAGAAAAGACUUUUCAAGAGUGACUUCUUCAGUAAGACCUAGAUAACAAGUCAACCAUGCAAAUCUCUGAGGAAAGAGCAUUCUACCAAGAAGCAGAAACUAGUGCCACAAUCCUGAAGCAGAAAAAGCACUGCAACUUUAAAUACAGUUGUCCCUUCUCAUCUGUGGUUUCACUUACUGUAAUUUUAGUUACUUGUGAUCAACUGCAGUCUGAAAGUAUUAAAUGGAAGAUCCCAGAAAUAAACAAUUUGUAAAUUCAAAAUUGCACACCAUUCUGAGUAACAUAAUAAAACCAUGUCACCCAGAAUGUGAACCUUCCCUUCAUCCAGUGUCUCCACACUGGUUCCACAGUGUCUCCACAGAGUGUCCACACUAUACAUGCUACCCACUUAGUAGCCAGCUUGGAAAUCAGAAUAACUAUAUUAAGUUGUCGUGUUCAAGUAGUAAUGGCUCCAAAGUGCAACAGUAGGGAUUCUGGCAAUUCAGAAAAGCCAAAGAGAAGGUGAAAAAUCCUACCUUGUUUGUUAAUCUCUUACUGUGCCUAAUUUAUAAAUUAAACGUUAUCAUAGACAUUUAUGUAUAGAAAAAACAUAGUAUAUAUGAGGUUCAGUACUAUCUCUGGUUUCAGACAACCACUGGAAUUCUUGAAUGAAUACCAUGGGAUAAGGGGAGACUAAUGUACAAAGAAAGUCAAUGUGGCUGAAGGAGAGACAUAUCAGAAGAUGAAUAGGAGAGGAUGAAGAAAGUCAGAAGGCACUUUAUGUACGAGCUUGUAAAGUGAGAUCAGAGAGAAUUUUAUUCUAAGGCUAAAGGGAAGGCACAGAUAUUUUUAAGCAACAGAAUCAAUGAUCUACUUAAUUUAUUAUGUAAUAAUUAUUAGAUCAUAUUGUUUGCAAUUUAGAGAGUACAGAGAACAAGACUCAAAUAAAAAGGACAAGUAAAAGAUCAGUCUUGAAGACUAUUAAAUUGGUUCAGGACAAAAUGUGUGAUGGAUUUUUCAAGGGUGGUGGUUAAGAUACACAGAGAGUGGAAGGCUUUGGUUUGGCUAUGGAGGCUUUCCCCCAUUGCUUACUUUGGUCAACUUUGUCAAAGAUCAGACAGUUGUAGGUGUUUGGCUUUACUUCUGAGUGCUCUAUUGUUUUCCAUCAUCUAUGUAUUUGUGUGUGUUUUGUUUUCUAAUAAUCCCUAGGUUUACAUAUGUUUCAGUUUUGUACAAGUACCAUUCUGGUUUUGUUACUAUAUCUUAUACUACAGUUUGAUAUCAAGUAACGUGAUGCUUCUGCUCGGGAUUGUGGGGUUUUGUUAUUGUUUUUGUUGUUUUUGCUUAAGAUUGCUUUAGCUAUUCAGGCUCUUUUUUGGUUACACAUGAAUUUUAGAAGGGUUUUUUUCAAAUUCCAUGAAAAAUGACAUUGGUAGUUCGAUAGGAAUAGUAUUAAGUCUGUAGAUUUCUGUGGUCAGUGUGGCCAUUUUAACAAUAUUGAUUAUUAUUGUUAGGUUUUUUAGAUAGAACUGAUAGAAUUGAUUGAGCUAGAUAAAGAAAGUAAUGAAAAGUGACUUUGUUUUGAGUGGGUUUUUUUGUUGUUUUGUUUAUUGGCUUGAGCUUAUAGAUGAGAUAAUUAUGCCAUUUACUGAAAUAGGAAAAGGGAAUGGGAAUAUGAGAAUCAAGAGUUUCCCUUUGGGGAUAUUAAUUAUAAGAUAAAUACUAGCUAUUCAAGGACAAAUAAAGCAUAAACCUACUUAUAAAAAUCUAACAAGCUUAACUUCAAUUUGCAAUGUUAUUAGCAGUAUUGAGUGGUUAUUCACAAAAUAAAAAUAAUGAAACCAAUUCUUCUUAAAUAUUAUUUUUUUAUUUUCAACGAAAAGAUUUUAGAUGAGGGCUUUAGUUGUAUCAAAUAAUGUAUAAUCUUGUACAUAUGUACUUAAAUAGCAUAUUGAAGACAUUAAUGUGAUAUGCAAGUGUGAUAUGAUAUUGUGUAUAUCUGUACAUAAAUUUCUAUGUGCAUGGUUUGCCAAUCUGAUGGAAUUCACUAAAUAAUUAUUGACCAUCUACUAUGCAGUAGAUAUAAGUAACAUAUAGUGAAAGAGCUUGUAGUUGACUUAUUGUUUUUUUUCCUGUAAACUUAAACUUUGGUGAUUGCUAAUGCAUCACUUGGAUAAUAUAGUCAAUCAUUUAAAAUAUAUUUAGUCUGCUAAUUAUUUUCAAGUGUGUUACAAAUAAUUCAAGGCAAAUAAUAAAGAGUCCUACUAUAUUCAAAUGCUUAUUCCAAUGCAUGUUAGGAUACUUGCCUUUUCCAAAGUCAUUUCAAAGUAUUUUGCAUGAGUUCAAUUUUAUUUUAAGACCUGCACUAAUAAUACUAUCUGGCAGUAACUGCUUUGGAUCACAGUGGAUCCUCCAAGAUUUAUGUUUUACCUUUAGCUAUAAAAUCCUUACAACAUCUAUUUUUUCUGGAUAGUUUUUAUAUUAUCAUUUUUAGCCUCAAUCCAGAAUUAUUCCUUGUAAUGUGAAAAAAGUUAUAAGGCAAUUUCCACUCAUCCGGUUCUUAUGGAGGAUAGCAAUAUUCUUUAUUGCUAGAAGGUAUUUUUAUCUUUGUUUAUUCACCUUUUCUUUCUUGUUACUGUAAAGGUCUUAAACCAUUACCAGAAAUACAAGAGGGAAGGCAUUUUGAGAAGACAUUAUGUAAUCAUUGUAACUUCAUUUGCUAUUAAGAUUCUCUUCAUGUGAAUUAUAUUAAAAGGUGCAUUUACUCCAACACAAUCACUUAUUUCUUACUUUCUACUUAUAGCACCUUUCCAUACAGGUAAUUCAGAACAAAGAGGCAGUCAUAAAACAUGUCCUGUUUAUUACAAAUUAGAAAAGAUGACAUAUUUAGGAAAUUCACAAUGAUGCAGACAGAUUUUUGAUAUAAUGCAAUAUUAUUAUUAUGCAUUCUUUGAGGAUCUAUUAUGUAUCAUUUCAAAGUAAGAUAUGAGUUUAAACUAGAACAAAAUAUUUUGGAAUGGAGUGGAGUGGGUGAAAUACUUUCUGUAAGUAAAGAGUUGUCAAAAUUCAUGUAGGGUGAAUAAAAGAAUGUAUGUAAUUUGAAGUUCCACAAAUCUCCAAAUUAUGAAGCCUCAUUCUCACAGCAUAUAGAAACAAAAUAACAAUCAAUAAUAUAAUACUGAAAUAUAAUUUCAACUCUGGUUCUAAGAUUAUGUUCUCUAGUAAAUUAUAUGGGUAAGACUAAUAAUUAAUUGCAUUAAUAAUAUUAAUACUGAUGUGCCAAUUUGCAAUGUCACUAACAGUAGCGAGUGGUUAUUCAGAAAAUAAAAAUAAGAAAACCAAUUCUUCUAAAAGCUUAUUUUUCUUUGCAAUGAAAAUAUUUUAGAUGAGGAUUUUAGUUUUAUCAUAUAGUUUAUAAUCUUAUAUAAUUUGUACUUAAGUAGUAUAUCAAAGGCAUUGAUUUUAUAUUCAAGUGCGAUGUAGAUAUUAUGUGUAUGUGUACACAAAUUUAUAUAUGCAGGGUUUACCAAUCUGAUGGCCAUGUGUAACUUGCACUCUGUGGAUGUAUUGAGAAUAUCCAAUAUGUUAAACAGACCAAGAUCUUUUGCCUGUGUGGGUUAGAAAUUAGAUUUGGAAAGCAUAAUAAAAAUUGCAACAUGUUCCUGUUGUUCAGAACAGAGAAAGAUUGCUUCCUAUUGGUUGGUAUUUCAGAAGGCUAUGUUUAGAAUACAGAAUCUGAGCCAGGUCUUGCAGGAUAAGUGGGAUUUUAACAAGCAUGUAUAUUAAUUUAAGUCAAUAACAGAAGUAUAUCAGAGUCAUGAUGAAGAACAUUAUAGAAUGGCAAAAAAUCCAAGUUAUUCGUAUGUGAAUAUAAAUACUGAAGACAAAUAUUGGAAAAGGAAUCUGGAAAUAGGUUGUGUUGUUUUAGUUUAUUUAAUGAUGCUUUGUUAAGCUGAAUAUAGCUUGGUUCAUUUUGGAUUAAUGUAUU
Molecule: long non-coding RNA, 5022 nt
Filed under: Homo sapiens (human)
Lineage: Eukaryota; Metazoa; Chordata; Mammalia; Primates; Hominidae
Description: HSALNT0203032
Source: RNAcentral